This 593-nucleotide ribosomal RNA is filed under the name Candida albicans. Its description in RNAcentral is "LSU rRNA". It matches the Rfam family "Eukaryotic large subunit ribosomal RNA", at positions 50 to 658 of the family's 3401-position model. Lineage: Eukaryota; Fungi; Ascomycota; Pichiomycetes; Serinales; Debaryomycetaceae. The record is from RNAcentral.
GCGGAGGAAAAGAAACCAACAGGGAUUGCCUCAGUAGCGGCGAGUGAAGCGGCAAAAGCUCAAAUUUGAAAUCUGGCGUCUUUGGCGUCCGAGUUGUAAUUUGAAGAAGGUAUCUUUGGGCCCGGCUCUUGUCUAUGUUCCUUGGAACAGGACGUCACAGAGGGUGAGAAUCCCGUGCGAUGAGAUGACCCGGGUCUGUGUAAAGUUCCUUCGACGAGUCGAGUUGUUUGGGAAUGCAGCUCUAAGUGGGUGGUAAAUUCCAUCUAAAGCUAAAUAUUGGCGAGAGACCGAUAGCGAACAAGUACAGUGAUGGAAAGAUGAAAAGAACUUUGAAAAGAGAGUGAAAAAGUACGUGAAAUUGUUGAAAGGGAAGGGCUUGAGAUCAGACUUGGUAUUUUGCAUGCUGCUCUCUCGGGGGCGGCCGCUGCGGUUUACCGGGCCAGCAUCGGUUUGGAGCGGCAGGAUAAUGGCGGAGGAAUGUGGCACGGCUUCUGCUGUGUGUUAUAGCCUCUGACGAUACUGCCAGCCUAGACCGAGGACUGCGGUUUUUACCUAGGAUGUUGGCAUAAUGAUCUUAAGUCGCCCGUCUUGAA